GUCAGCGGCGGACGGGUGAGUAACACGUGGGCAACCUGCCUGUAAGACUGGGAUAACUCCGGGAAACCGGGGCUAAUACCGGAUAAUUCUUUCCCUCACAUGAGGGAAAGCUGAAAGAUGGUUUCGGCUAUCACUUACAGAUGGGCCCGCGGCGCAUUAGCUAGUUGGUGAGGUAACGGCUCACCAAGGCAACGAUGCGUAGCCGACCUGAGAGGGUGAUCGGCCACACUGGGACUGAGACACGGCCCAGACUCCUACGGGAGGCAGCAGUAGGGAAUCUUCCGCAAUGGACGAAAGUCUGACGGAGCAACGCCGCGUGAGUGAUGAAGGUUUUCGGAUCGUAAAACUCUGUUGUUAGGGAAGAACAAGUACCGGAGUAACUGCCGGUACCUUGACGGUACCUAACCAGAAAGCCACGGCUAACUACGUGCCAGCAGCCGCGGUAAUACGUAGGUGGCAAGCGUUGUCCGGAAUUAUUGGGCGUAAAGCGCGCGCAGGCGGUUCCUUAAGUCUGAUGUGAAAGCCCCCGGCUCAACCGGGGAGGGUCAUUGGAAACUGGGGAACUUGAGUGCAGAANAAANGAGUGGAAUUCCACGUGUAGCGGUGAAAUGCGUAGAGAUGUGGAGGAACACCAGUGGCGAAGGCGACUCUUUGGUCUGUAACUGACGCUAAGGCGCGAAAGCGUGGGGAGCAAACAGGAUU
RNAcentral lists this ribosomal RNA (702 nucleotides) under Bacillus sp. (in: firmicutes). RNAcentral's name for it is "bacterial SSU rRNA". It matches the Rfam family "Bacterial small subunit ribosomal RNA", at positions 91 to 779 of the family's 1533-position model. Lineage: Bacteria; Bacillati; Bacillota; Bacilli; Caryophanales; Bacillaceae. The record is from RNAcentral.